GCCGGGCGCAGUGGCGCGUGUCUGUAGUCCCAGCUAUUCGGGAGGCUGAGGCUGGAGGAUCUCUUGAGUCCAGGAGUUCUGGGCUGUAGUGCGCCAUGCCAAUUGGGUGUCCGCACUAAGUUCGGCAUCAAUAUGGUGACCUCCCGGGAGUGGGGGACCACCAGGUUGGCUAAGGAGGGGUGAACCGGCCCAGGUCGGAAAUGGAGCAGGUCAAAAUUCCCGUGCUGAUCAGUAGUGGGAUCGCGCCUGUGAACAGCCACUGCACUCCAGCCUGGGCAACACAGCGAGACCCUGUCUCU
RNAcentral lists this signal recognition particle RNA (299 nucleotides) under Cebus imitator (Panamanian white-faced capuchin). RNAcentral describes it as "Metazoan signal recognition particle RNA (ENSCCAG00000003989.1)". It matches the Rfam family "Metazoan signal recognition particle RNA". From Rfam's summary of the family: The signal recognition particle (SRP) is a universally conserved ribonucleoprotein. It is involved in the co-translational targeting of proteins to membranes. The eukaryotic SRP consists of a 300-nucleotide 7S RNA and six proteins: SRPs 72, 68, 54, 19, 14, and 9. The record is from RNAcentral. Lineage: Eukaryota; Metazoa; Chordata; Mammalia; Primates; Cebidae.